RNAcentral lists this ribosomal RNA (254 nucleotides) under uncultured bacterium. Its description in RNAcentral is "partial 16S ribosomal RNA". It matches the Rfam family "Bacterial small subunit ribosomal RNA", at positions 524 to 776 of the family's 1533-position model. The record is from RNAcentral.
UACGUAGGGGGCAAGCGUUGUCCGGAAUUAUUGGGCGUAAAGAGCGUGUAGGCGGCCAGAUAAGUCCGCUGUGAAAUCUCGAGGCUCAACUUCGAGCUGUCGGUGGAAACUAUCUGGCUAGAGUCCGGAAGAGGAGAAUGGAAUUCCUGGUGUAGCGGUGAAAUGCGCAGAUAUCAGGAAGAACACCCGUGGCGAAGGCGGUUCUCUGGGACGGUACUGACGCUGAGACGCGAAAGCGUGGGGAGGCGAACAGG